GAGUUUGAUCAUGGCUCAGAUUGAACGCUGGCGGCAGGCCUAACACAUGCAAGUCGAGCGGUAGAGAGGAGCUUGCUUCUCUUGAGAGCGGCGGACGGGUGAGUAAUGCCUAGGAAUCUGCCUAGUGGUGGGGGAUAACGUUCGGAAACGGACGCUAAUACCGCAUACGUCCUACGGGAGAAAGCGGGGGAUCUUCGGACCUCGCGCCAUUAGAUGAGCCUAGGUCGGAUUAGCUAGUUGGUGAGGUAAUGGCUCACCAAGGCGACGAUCCGUAACUGGUCUGAGAGGAUGAUCAGUCACACUGGAACUGAGACACGGUCCAGACUCCUACGGGAGGCAGCAGUGGGGAAUAUUGGACAAUGGGCGAAAGCCUGAUCCAGCCAUGCCGCGUGUGUGAAGAAGGUCUUCGGAUUGUAAAGCACUUUAAGUUGGGAGGAAGGGUCGUAACCUAAUACGUUACGGCUUUGACGUUACCGACAGAAUAAGCACCGGCUAACUUCGUGCCAGCAGCCGCGGUAAUACGAAGGGUGCAAGCGUUAAUCGGAAUUACUGGGCGUAAAGCGCGCGUAGGUGGUUCAGCAAGUUGGAUGUGAAAGCCCUGGGCUCAACCUGGGAACUGCAUCCAAAACUACUGAGCUAGAGUACGGUAGAGGGUAGUGGAAUUUCCUGUGUAGCGGUGAAAUGCGUAGAUAUAGGAAGGAACACCAGUGGCGAAGGCGACUACCUGGACUGAUACUGACACUGAGGUGCGAAAGCGU
RNAcentral lists this ribosomal RNA (758 nucleotides) under uncultured bacterium. Its description in RNAcentral is "bacterial SSU rRNA". It matches the Rfam family "Bacterial small subunit ribosomal RNA", at positions 9 to 762 of the family's 1533-position model. The record is from RNAcentral.